AGUGAACGCUGGCGGUAGGCCUAACACAUGCAAGUCGAACGGCAGCACAGUAAGAGCUUGCUCUUACGGGUGGCGAGUGGCGGACGGGUGAGGAAUACAUCGGAAUCUACUUUUUCGUGGGGGAUAACGUAGGGAAACUUACGCUAAUACCGCAUACGACCUACGGGUGAAAGCAGGGGAUCUUCGGACCUUGCGCGAUUGAAUGAGCCGAUGUCGGAUUAGCUAGUUGGCGGGGUAAAGGCCCACCAAGGCGACGAUCCGUAGCUGGUCUGAGAGGAUGAUCAGCCACACUGGAACUGAGACACGGUCCAGACUCCUACGGGAGGCAGCAGUGGGGAAUAUUGGACAAUGGGCGCAAGCCUGAUCCAGCCAUACCGCGUGGGUGAAGAAGGCCUUCGGGUUGUAAAGCCCUUUUGUUGGGAAAGAAAAGCAGCAGGUUAACACCCCGCUGUUCUGACGGUACCCAAAGAAUAAGCACCGGCUAACUUCGUA
RNAcentral lists this ribosomal RNA (492 nucleotides) under uncultured bacterium. RNAcentral's name for it is "partial 16S ribosomal RNA". It matches the Rfam family "Bacterial small subunit ribosomal RNA", at positions 29 to 507 of the family's 1533-position model. The record is from RNAcentral.